CCAUGAAGCUGGAUUCGCUAGUAAUCGCGCAUCAGCCACGGCGCGGUGAAUACGUUCCCGGGCCUUGUACACACCGCCCGUCAAGCCAUGGGAGCCGGGGGUGCCUGAAGGCCGUGACCGCGAGGAGCGGCCUAGGGUAAAACUGGUGACUGGGGCUAAGUCGUAACAAGGUAUC
This 175-nucleotide ribosomal RNA is filed under the name uncultured bacterium. Its description in RNAcentral is "partial 16S ribosomal RNA". It matches the Rfam family "Bacterial small subunit ribosomal RNA", at positions 1318 to 1500 of the family's 1533-position model. The record is from RNAcentral.